AUCGAAACAUUUGUUGUUUCUUGUCGUGAUUGGUUCAUUUUAGUGCGUGUUAUUUUAUUUCUUUUGUUUUAUUAUGUUAUUAUACGAAGUGUGUUUUUGAUCACAAGUGGGCACUUGGCCCAUUGGAUGAGGGGGUUGAUCCCCCAUGACCCCAAGGUCAAGGGUUCAACCCCCAUCGAAUGCAUUUUGUCCUAUUGUUU
RNAcentral lists this long non-coding RNA (200 nucleotides) under Lathyrus oleraceus (garden pea). RNAcentral describes it as "Pisum sativum (pea) long non-coding RNA (PSAT_LNC024401)". The record is from RNAcentral. Lineage: Eukaryota; Viridiplantae; Streptophyta; Magnoliopsida; Fabales; Fabaceae.